CCUACGGGAGGCUGCAGUGGGGAAUAUUGGACAAUGGGGGGAACCCUGAUCCAGCGACGCCGCGUGAGUGAAGAAGUAUUUCGGUAUGUAAAGCUCUAUCAGCAGGGAAGAAAAUGACGGUACCUGACUAAGAAGCCCCGGCUAACUACGUGCCAGCAGCCGCGGUAAUACGUAGGGGGCAAGCGUUAUCCGGAUUUACUGGGUGUAAAGGGAGCGUAGACGGUGCAGCAAGUCUGAUGUGAAAGGUCGGGGCCCAACCCCGGGACUGCAUUGGAAACUGUUGAACUGGAGUACAGGAGAGGUCAGCCGAAUUCCUAGUGUAGCGGUGAAAUGCGUAGAUAUCAAGCAGAACCCCGAUUGCGAAGGCAGCUUACCAAGCUACUUCUGACGUUGAGGCACGAAAGCGUGGGGAGCAAACAGGAUUAGAUACCCUUGUAGUC
This 440-nucleotide ribosomal RNA is filed under the name uncultured bacterium. RNAcentral's name for it is "partial 16S ribosomal RNA". It matches the Rfam family "Bacterial small subunit ribosomal RNA", at positions 338 to 795 of the family's 1533-position model. The record is from RNAcentral.